Molecule: long non-coding RNA, 910 nt
Organism: Triticum aestivum (bread wheat)
Lineage: Eukaryota; Viridiplantae; Streptophyta; Magnoliopsida; Poales; Poaceae
Exons: 2
Source: RefSeq, a predicted model, not a curated record
UCGGUGCAACUUGUACGGUGCAUAUUGAAAGUUUCUUCUUCUUGUUAUGAACGUGCACGUUUACGUAGCAACCAAAUCGAGCUCGAGCGUGCGGACGUGCUUCGCCCAGAUUGGCACUGGUGCAAGCCAUCCCUCCCAUUUGCAGGUUCGCUUUCAGCAUCGGACGUCCCAACGACCCAACGCCCGAACUCCGGUACCAAACUCUCCUAUAUAUACCUGGCACCGGCUUCACUGCUCUCGAGCACCUCACCAUUCGGCCAGCCUCUCGCCCUCCUCUGCCCUAGCUCUCUCCAUCCUCCUCCGAUACACCCAUAUGGCACCGUUCACGCGCCCAGCCCCACAAACCACCGACUCCCCUAGAGUUACACCCGGAAGCUACGUCCCCCAGAGGGGCCUGGUGCUGAAGCGGGUGCUCAAAAGCCUCCUCUCGUGGCUGCCGCGCCGCCGCCGCCGCCACCGGGCCGGGCGCCCCCGUCACGGCAAGGGCGGCGCCGCGCCGCCGGGCCGUCGUGGCACGUACUAACCAUCAACCACCACCUCUCCUCAAGUGGAGUGUAUCCGUCAAUAUAUUCUGCAGGUCAGGUCAAGUCGUACACGUCAAGCCCGGGCCGGCGUCACAACCGGCGACGACCGAGACUAGUCAGCGAGUCAAGCUAUCGGGGGUGCUCAGGAUGGUGGCAGAAAACCAAGUGUUGGAUCCGGCCUCCAGUCGUCAGUCAACUUAAUACUAUUGUUUCAUUGGUUAUUAUUUCGUUGCAUAAAAUACUGGAUACAUGUAGAUGGACCACACGCUUACUGACGGCAUCUUGCUGUUCGCGUGGCGCGUGCAUGUGUCUCUACGCUGUAAUAGGUCAUGCUGUUUUUUCAUAUAUUUUUCUUUUAUAUAACUCAUACCUUGUUUUUUCGUUCA